GAGUGAACGCUGGCGGUAGACCUAACACAUGCAAGUCGAACGGCAGCACAGUAAGAGCUUGCUCUUACGGGUGGCGAGUGGCGGACGGGUGAGGAAUACAUCGGAAUCUACUUUUUCGUGGGGGAUAACGUAGGGAAACUUACGCUAAUACCGCAUACGACCUACGGGUGAAAGCAGGGGAUCUUCGGACCUUGCGCGAUUGAAUGAGCCGAUGUCGGAUUAGCUAGUUGGCGGGGUAAAGGCCCACCAAGGCGACGAUCCGUAGCUGGUCUGAGAGGAUGAUCAGCCACACUGGAACUGAGACACGGUCCAGACUCCUACGGGAGGCAGCAGUGGGGAAUAUUGGACAAUGGGCGCAAGCCUGAUCCAGCCAUACCGCGUGGGUGAAGAAGGCCUUCGGGUUGUAAAGCCCUUUUGUUGGGAAAGAAAAGCAGCAGGUUAAUACCCCGCUGUUCUGACGGUACCCAAAGAAUAAGCACCGGCUAACUUCGUG
This 493-nucleotide ribosomal RNA is filed under the name uncultured bacterium. RNAcentral describes it as "partial 16S ribosomal RNA". It matches the Rfam family "Bacterial small subunit ribosomal RNA", at positions 27 to 507 of the family's 1533-position model. The record is from RNAcentral.